Molecule: ribosomal RNA, 508 nt
Filed under: uncultured bacterium
Lineage: Bacteria
Description: partial 16S ribosomal RNA
Rfam family: Bacterial small subunit ribosomal RNA
Source: RNAcentral
AUUGAACGCUGGCGGCAGGCCUAACACAUGCAAGUCGAGCGGCAGCGGGAAAGUAGCUUGCUACUUUUGCCGGCGAGCGGCGGACGGGUGAGUAAUGCCUGGGAAAUUGCCCAGUCGAGGGGGAUAACAGUUGGAAACGACUGCUAAUACCGCAUACGCCCUACGGGGGAAAGCAGGGGACCUUCGGGCCUUGCGCGAUUGGAUAUGCCCAGGUGGGAUUAGCUAGUUGGUGAGGUAAUGGCUCACCAAGGCGACGAUCCCUAGCUGGUCUGAGAGGAUGAUCAGCCACACUGGAACUGAGACACGGUCCAGACUCCUACGGGAGGCAGCAGUGGGGAAUAUUGCACAAUGGGGGAAACCCUGAUGCAGCCAUGCCGCGAGUGUGAAGAAGGCCUUCGGGUUGUAAAGCACUUUCAGCGAGGAGGAAAGGUUGAUGCCUAAUACGUAUCAACUGCGACGUUACUCGCAGAAGAAGCACCGGCUAACUCCGUGCCAGCAGCCGCGGUAA